This is a non-coding RNA of Thermococcus celer, 30 nucleotides long. The record is from Rfam. Lineage: Archaea; Methanobacteriati; Methanobacteriota; Thermococci; Thermococcales; Thermococcaceae.
GUUGCAAUAAGACUCGAGGAGAAUUGAAAG